AGUUUUUUCAAAGUUGACAAAUAACUAUGUCUUAAGCUUCGUUUAAGCUUCGUUUGUGAUUGCGGGGAGAUUGCGUUACGUGCGGUGAGAAAUUACGUUGGAAAAAUAUCUUGUUUGUUUCCGUACGUAAUAUUGUGUUCUGCAUAUCGCGAUAAGUCGGUUACAAUAUAUUUUCUGCAAUCUCACCGGAGAACGCAGAAGCAUAUCCCUAUAUGCUUUUUCCUCAACUCCAUUUUAUCUAAUAGCGUUAGAUAGACCUCAAUACCAAAGCCUUAGUUAUAUCAUGUUUCGCACCCUGUGCGAAUAGCGUAGUAGGGUAAUAAAUAGUCUAGAGUUUUUGUUAGUGUAAACUAAAACGAGCUUUCUCAAACAUAAGCUCCACUGUAGCAAGAAAAUACAGAGAUCAUGAUUUAACUAUUAUAUAUAUAGAUUUGGGCUAGAUUACUAUUAAUAGUAUUUGCCCUUUUUGGUAUCAAAUUUUUAGCCUUUGAAUCACUUUUUUUAAUCAUUUUUAAUGAUUGGAUUAAAUAUUAUAAUCCAGUAUGUACCACUCAAUCCUAGGGGGACCACUCAACUCUAAAGGACAGAUAUCAUCCUAACCUUACAAUUUCUCGUCCAAGGGUUAAAAACUUGCCAGCGAAAUGUGCCAAAUAUUAUCAAUAGUAUUUCAACCCAAUUCUCUAUUUUCAGUCUUUCAUUGUUAGACUAUUCGUUUGAUAGCUAAAUGAUGUCGAAAAAUUAAGAAAUUUAGUUUCCAAAUAUUUUAAAUAGUGUAGAUCAAAUCUAACGGAGCCGAUCGUCGAUUUAGAAGUUGCACCAUUAAAAAUAACUUAGUAGCAUGAAGGCCUCCAUGCUACCGAUAGUAUACCAGCCUCUCUCUCUCUCUCUCUCUCUCUCUCUCUCUAUAUAUAGCUAGGCUGGUAUACUAUCGAUAGUGCGGAGGCUUCCAUGCUACCAAGUUGUUUUCAAUGUUGCGCCUUCCAAGAGAGAGAGAGAGAGAGAGAGAGAGAGAGAGAGUUAGGCUGGUAUAUUAUUGUUAGCAAAAGAUCUUUUUUGCUAUCAAGUUUUUAGCAUUUGGAUCAAUUGCUGUCAUCAUUUCUAACCAUUGGAUUACAUAUUAUAACCCAGUGGGAACCACUCAACCCUAAGGGGACCACUCAACCCUAAGCGACUAAUAUCGUCCUAACCUUACAAUUUCUUAUCUAAGGGUUAAAAACUAAAUAGCAAAAGGACAUUUUGCUAUCAAUAUUAUUCCAGCCUAGCAAUAGUAUAUAUAUAUGGGCGCAUAUGAAUUGAUUCGAAUCAAUAUGGAAUUAUUACCCCACGCUCACUCUAUAUUUUCUCCCUGGUUGGUGAUAAUAGGAACAAUGCAAAUAAUCUAUGUAGCUUCAACUUCUCUUGGUCAACGUAAUUUAAAAAAGAGAAUAGCCUAUUCCUCUGUAUCUCACAUGGGUUUCACAAUUAUAGGAAUUGGUUCUAUGACUGACAGGGGACUCAAUGGAGCUAUUUUACAAAUGCUCUCUCAUGGAUUUAUUGGUGCUGCACUUUUUUUCUUGGCGGGAACGAGUUGUGAUAGAACACGUCUUGUUUAUCUCGAAGAAAUGGGAGGGAUAUCUAUCCCAAUGCCAAAAAUAUUUACCAUAUAUAUAUAUAUAUAGAGAGAGAGAGAGAAAUAGGUUGGAAUACUAUUAAUAGCACCAAACUAUUAUUGCUAUUGGUUUUUUAGCCUUUGGAUUGAGAAAUGUGUGGUUAGGAUGAUAUGGGCCCUCUAAGAUUGAGUGAGUGAUUGGUUGAAUAGUAUAAUAUAACGAGUAAAAAUAAUCAAAAUGUUAAAUCUAACAGUGGAAAACCUGAUAGCACCAAAUCUUUGAUGCUAUCGAUAGUAUCUCACCCGGACUAUAUAUAUAUAUAUAUAUAUAUAUAUAUAUAUAUAUAUAUAUNNNNNNNNNNGGAGAGGGUCAAGAAGCGCUCGUCGUGGGCGCCAUCGCGGAGUCCUCCUCCGAUAACGCCGUGGUGGAUACGUCUCCGGAGGCCACCCUCGCCAGAAGGGGUACUACCAACUCCCCCGUCUCGCCCUGGCUGACUACCUCGCGGAGUUGUUCAAAUCCUCCACUCCAGGAGCCUAGAAGUUGCCGCUCUUCCAGCUGGUGACCUAGCACCUCUUUAUCAACUACGUAUAUCUCUUUGAGAAGGCAAUGUGGAAGUAUCUCCUCUCUCUAGCUCAAAUCGAGCGGUGUGUGUGGACCUGCCGCUCCGGAUGGCGACCACCAACCUAGAGGUCCUCUUGGGGUCGUAGCUGAACCGCCGCUAAAGUACCUUCUUCAAGUUCCUCGAAGACAACCGUGUGAUGAAGGGCUGAUCACAGUUUGCCUUCUACCUUGUCCUGAACGCGUUGAACGCGGUUCCACUAGCCUGACACCGGCUCAUGCUCGCCCUCAAAAGAGCCGAAGAAGUGACGCACGGAAAGCAGCACGCCCUGCUGCUCCUGUUCCGGGCGUAGAAACUCCCUCCCAACGCUGGCAGCUAGAAGGCCAAACACGUUAGGAGAUUGGAGGUUUGGAUGGCCCUCCAUCACCUAGCGCGCGAGUAUCACCUCUCGCCGUUAAUGACUGAAUACGUUUAGUACGAUUCAUCUCUGUAGUACCAACUCGUCAUAAGUAGAAAUGAAUGGGCAACAUAAAUAGCGAAAACGAAUACGAAUAUGUGACUAGGGAAAAACAUCGAAAACCCGUAUCACCGCGUGAAGUGACUACAGUCAUUAACGGGUGACCUUUGAUAAUAAAUUAUCAAGAGUGCGGGGACAAAGAUACAAAGGAAAAGUCUCGGAAGCCAUGGCCGCCUCCGUGCCCUAACGCCGUUCCCACAGCGCAUCGAUCGAGUCUCUCUCAGGCAAAACGAUAUCCACCAAUGAGGAAGGAAUAACACAAACUCUCUCCCUCUCUAAAACGUGGUACAUAUCUCUCUGGUGGAACAUAAGUCUAAUCAUGAACAAUACCCUGAGGCAAACAUAAUAGAACACAAAAUGAAUCACCUAAUAGUCAAAAUACUAGAAAAGGAACAAUAUCGUGAAGCAUUAUGAAACGAGACUAUGAGGAUCUACGAAAGAGAAUAACGAAAUAAAUGGCGAAAUAAAAUCUGCGGAACAUACAAAGUCUGCAUGCCGUCCAGACCCGUGCGCGGCCCGUCCGAAGGCGGCCCAGGGCCCCGGACUGUUGGUUCGUGAACCACGAUAAUUCAAAAGACAGUAAUCUAAUUGGGAAAACUGGUAAAAGUGGGCAAUCUAGUAUAAUAAGUUGAUUAGUGGGUGAGUUGGGAUUCCUUGGUAAUAGUAGGAUUGGCAUGUAGCGAAGUAGGUUCCCGGUUUUUAUAAGGAUGGCGCUCUCGGCGCGACGUCCACGAUUGGUGCUGGCGGUGUAGGGACCUGAGUCUUCCGAGCCUCCGCCUGCUGCAGUAGGAGAUCCUCCAGAUGCUUCAUCCACGCCUCCUGUCGGCGCGCCGCCUCAGUCUGCUGUGCCACCAUAUCAGUGAGGGCCGCAAGCUGGCCCCUCAACUCUCGGACCCCGCUGGAUCCGGAGGUAGCAGAGGUCUCGACCUCCUCCAGAUUUGCCGCGUUAUCCGCUCCGGUAGAUUGGGAGCGUGUAAUCGGCAUCACACUACAAUAUCAUAAAAGCGUAAGUUAGCAAACUCACGUCAUCAUAUCCCCACUCAAGAAGGUAAUACCCGAAAUUAUGCGAACGUAAUGAACUGUGCUUCACUACUAACUCCCGAUGUUACGUUGUCGGCCGCCAACGUAACCCUCCGCGAAGUUAGAAGCUAUACACUUCAAUUUAACUCCACUUUCUAGUGUUAUCCAAGAUACCCAAUCAAGAUACUUUCGCUUACAAGUCGAAUAGACCUCGUCUCUCACGAGCCUAUUUCCUAUAGUCCAACCGGCCUAAGGUUUGCUAGGUCCACUAAGACUCAACCCUAGACUCUGAUACCAAACUAAUCUGUCACAUCCCGGGACCCGGCGGAAGCACGCCCGGCGCGUGCCCAGACCCGCCGUACGUCUGAAACAUACAAGGCGUCUAAAAUAAAGCGGUAAAUAAAGCAAUAAGAGAAAGCAUCUAGGAGUAUCAGAGCAAAGUACUACAAAGUGCUACAACAAGGAGAAGACCAUAAAACUGAUAAUCCACUAAGUAAAACACAAGAUAAUACAAACGGAGUCCCAUAACAAGUACUAAUCUGAAUACAAGGUGGUCUCUCUAUACAUGGUGCAAAAUCUCUCCCUCUCUCAAACACAACAAGGAAGGAGUAACCACCUAUAGCAAAACGGACUCUCUCUGAGCUAACUACGCGACACCCUUGCCGCAAUCCCGUGCCUCCGCCGGUGCCGAAGGCUCUGAAAAGGAAAAAUAGAAACAGGGGCGUGAGAACUAUUAAAUAAUAGUUUCCAGUGGGCAAUUACUAACUUCAGUGAAGUGCGCCACUAGGUCCAAAAGCUACAAAAAGGGGUCAGUGUAUAAGCAUAAGCAAAAGCGAUAAAUACAACGGGUAAGUAAAGAUGAAUACUGCUCAACCAUGAUGUCUCUACUUAGCAUGAUUUGCAUAAGUAAUAAAGCAACUACCACAGGUAUGUACAUGAGAGUAACCAAUAUGUAAAUGCAUGAGUAUGCAACUACCCCAAUAUUCACAAUGUGAAUAGCAAUAAUGUCAUUGUUCACUAUUCUAGUCAAUGUCCACUUGUCACUUUAACGAUCUCCAAAUCGACGAUCGGCACCGUUGAACAUGAUCUAUACCAUUUGAAGUAUUUAAAAACUAAAUUUUAAAUCUUUUUGGCAUCAUUAACCUAAUGAUGAAAGGGUUUUAAAAUUUAUAAUUUUAAUGAUCAAUAUAAGGCGUUUUCUCGUUUAACAGUGUAAAGAUAUCCAAAUCAAUUGAAUUUUGGGUAGAAAAUUUUUUAAACUAUUUAGAAAAAAAUCUAUACUCUCGAUCUUGAUUACAAGAUUCCUAUCAUCACUUUUUAAACGAUAUUCAUUUUCAGCCGUUCAUUUUGUGUCCACUUGAUGGACAAAAGAAUAACAUCGAAAAAGUAUGAAAUUUGAUUUCUAAAUGCUUCCAGUGGUAUAGAUCAUGUUCAAUAGUGCCGAUCGUUGAUUUGGAGGCUCCAUAAUAAAAAACAAAUGGCCGGCAACGGAGUCCGUUUACUACCGAUAACAUUCUAGCUCAACUCUCUCUCUCUCUCCUCUCUCUCUCACUCUCUAUAAAUAUAAUCAGCUAUACUAUUUCAACCAACACGGUUCAAAUUAAAAUGAAUCAUCUCAAAGCUUCGUAAUGAUCGAAUUUGAAACAUUAGCUUUGACAAAAAAUUUAGAUACUAAAGAUUUUUUUUAGACCAAUCGUCUCUAACAUAAGUGGCAAAAAUUUGAUAGUCGGUAUGCGAGAUCCCAGGUUUGAAACAUAGUUACUCGACAUUUUCAGCGGUACGCUAUCUUUCUUCAUUAAAAAAAAAAAAAAAAAAUCUUUUUAGCCCUACUGUAGAGUGUGUUAUUACUUAAUCUUAAAAGUAUUAUACGAAUAGUACUUUGGAGAUCAAAAGCACAAAAAUAUCAAAAGAAAAAAUUAUUAACGCUUCUCCAAAUCCAAACCGCUUGUUUGACUUGUAUCAUAUAUCACAUAUUACAAAUCACAUCGUCAUGGAUCCGAGUAAAAAAACAUGCCAACACGUUGUUUAAUUGGAUAAUCAAUAAUCAAAAUCACAUGCGAUCUAACGGCCGAGAUUUAUCCCAUAAAACCUCAAUCUACCACAUGGCGUGACACAGGAGAUGAAGGGGUCUCUCUCACAUGAUCACAUCACAAUUCAUUUAUCCCCCUCUCUCUCUCUCUCUCUCUCUCUCUCUCUCUCCAUCUCUCUCUCUCUCUUUCUCAGCAACCCCUCACCUACCGCUAGUUGUCAUCAUAUUUUUAAUCAUUCAAAAGUUAUUAUUCUAGUUAAUUAAGUUAAAAAAAAAAUUUAUUUAAUUGAUGAAAAUGUAUAAAUACCUCUCCAACUAUUGGCCGUCGCAUAAUAGUCCCCCAAACUCUUUUUUCCUUCUUUUUUCUUUUUUUUUUGUGGGGAUUGUUCCCUUUGUAGCUAGCUUUUAUAUUUUUUUUCAAGGAUAAAUUACUGAAAACCUCUCUAUAAAUAUUUCUUUUUUAUUCUUUUUCUUUCAAACUUUUAGAAAUCUAUAUUUUAUUUUCUUCAAAUUUUAAAGAUGUUUUCAGAACAGUACGACGUUAACAGAGAGUGCAAAAUGAUCAAAUCACCCUUAUUUUUUCUAUAAGAAAAAAAAUAAUUUUUUUAAUAUAUUUUUCUCAUUUUAAAGUCUAUUUUUGUUAUAAAUUAUAAUAAAUGGACGGAAUAGUAAUUGAACCCUUUCGGAAGGGGGCUGAAUAUAACAAUUUGAAAUAUUGAGGGGGUGAAAUAUAGAUUUUUGAAAGUUAGGGAGAAAAAGUAAAAAAGAGGGUAUUUAUAAGAGAGUUUUCUAUAAUUUAGCUUUUUUUGAAUUAAGUGAUGAAUUUAGCCAAAUAAUGAAGGGUUUUCUUAAA
This 6567-nucleotide long non-coding RNA is filed under the name Ananas comosus (pineapple). RNAcentral describes it as "long non-coding RNA (ACOM_LNC019445)". Lineage: Eukaryota; Viridiplantae; Streptophyta; Magnoliopsida; Poales; Bromeliaceae. The record is from RNAcentral.